Malus domestica (apple) is the source of this 88-nucleotide small nucleolar RNA. RefSeq annotates it as small nucleolar RNA R16. The record is from RefSeq and is a predicted model, not a curated record. NCBI's taxonomy places the organism in Eukaryota, Viridiplantae, Streptophyta, Magnoliopsida, Rosales, Rosaceae.
AAUGGCAAAUGAUGAAUAAUCUUUUCCGCUUAUUGAUAUACUGAAUCUUCUGUGUUGACAUAAACUCCGCUUAUUAUCUGAUGCCAUU